This 281-nucleotide long non-coding RNA is filed under the name Malus domestica (apple). RNAcentral describes it as "long non-coding RNA (MDOM_LNC014720)". Lineage: Eukaryota; Viridiplantae; Streptophyta; Magnoliopsida; Rosales; Rosaceae. The record is from RNAcentral.
UAUGUUUACGUAAACUUUAUAAUUACAAUCAUUCCAUUCGUUGCUAAAUAUAUUGCGCGACGCUACGUUCGUUGCGUAAGAUGACUUUGCACGACGAAUAACAGAUGUUUGUUGUGCAAAGCAUGGUCAGAUUGUGUUCAAACCUUCCCAUUUAUUGCGCAUUUAUGAUGCAUUUUGCACGACGAACAAGGAGAUUUGCACGACGAAUGGGUUCGUCGCGCAAAGGUAUCCUAUUGUUAUUUAAACACGGUUUCAGAACCCUAGUUUUCAAAAAAAAAAAA